RNAcentral lists this ribosomal RNA (468 nucleotides) under uncultured bacterium. RNAcentral's name for it is "partial 16S ribosomal RNA". It matches the Rfam family "Bacterial small subunit ribosomal RNA", at positions 28 to 507 of the family's 1533-position model. The record is from RNAcentral.
GACGAACGCUGGCGGCGUGCUUAACACAUGCAAGUCGAACGGAAAGGCCCUGCUUUUGUGGGGUGCUCGAGUGGCGAACGGGUGAGUAACACGUGAGUAACCUGCCCUUGACUUUGGGAUAACUUCAGGAAACUGGGGCUAAUACCGGAUAGGAGCUCCUGCUGCAUGGUGGGGGUUGGAAAGUUUCGGCGGUUGGGGAUGGACUCGCGGCUUAUCAGCUUGUUGGUGGGGUAGUGGCUUACCAAGGCUUUGACGGGUAGCCGGCCCGGGAGGGUGACCGGCCACAUUGGGACUGAGAUACGGCCCAGACUCCUACGGGAGGCAGCAGUGGGGAAUAUUGCACAAUGGGCGGAAGCCUGAUGCAGCAACGCCGCGUGCGGGAUGACGGCCUUCGGGUUGUAAACCGCUGUCGCCUGUGACGAAGCGUGAGUGACGGUAAUGAGUAAAGAAGCACCGGCUAACUACGUG